CCGAACGGCCCCUUGGGGCCUUCGACCCUUCAAACCCGUGGAAGCAAACUCCGUGCUUCGGCGCCCAGCGCGUCGGCUUUAUGCGCACAAGGCUUUGCGUCUGAAUCAUAAACAAGAAUUA
Molecule: unclassified non-coding RNA, 121 nt
Filed under: uncultured Ascomycota
Lineage: Eukaryota; Fungi; Ascomycota
Description: sequence contains ITS1
Source: RNAcentral